Molecule: small nuclear RNA, 23 nt
Filed under: Arabidopsis thaliana (thale cress)
Lineage: Eukaryota; Viridiplantae; Streptophyta; Magnoliopsida; Brassicales; Brassicaceae
Description: snRNA_03729
Source: RNAcentral
UGGAAGAAAACGGAUAGUCGACU